AUACGGAGGGUGCAAGCGUUACUCGGAAUCACUGGGCGUAAAGCGCGCGCAGGCGGGCUGAUAAGUUGGAUGUGAAAGCCUACGGCUCAACCGUAGAACUGCAUCCAAAACUGUCAGUCUGGAGUCUGGGAGGGGAAGAUGGAAUUAGUUGUGUAGGGGUAAAAUCCGUAGAGAUAACUAGGAAUACCAAAAGCGAAGGCGAUCUUCUGGAACAGUACUGACGCUGAGGCGCGAAAGCGUGGGGAGCAAACAGGAUUAGAAACCCCUGUAGUCC
RNAcentral lists this ribosomal RNA (274 nucleotides) under uncultured bacterium. RNAcentral's name for it is "partial 16S ribosomal RNA". It matches the Rfam family "Bacterial small subunit ribosomal RNA", at positions 523 to 796 of the family's 1533-position model. The record is from RNAcentral.